AGCCGGCUUACCCCCGGUUCUGCAUUCGAUUCGGCAGCUAGAGUUGGGUAGGGAGAUCGGAAUUCUUGUGUAGGGUGAAAUGGCCAGAUAUCAGGAGGACCCCGUUGCGAAGCCGAAUUCUUGGCCAUUACUGACGCUGAGGAGCGAAGCGUUGGGAGCGAACAGGAUUAGAUACCCUGGUAGUCCACGCGUAAACGUUGGGAACUAGGUGGUGGCGACAUUCCACGUCGUCGGUGCCGCAGCUAACGCAUUAAGUUCCCCGCCUGGGGAGUACGCCGCAAGGCUAAAACUCAAAAGGAAAUUGACGGGGGCCCGCACAAGCAGCGGAGCAUGUGGCUUAAUUCGACGCAACGCGAAGAACCUUACCAAGGCUUGACAUAUACCGGAAACGGCCAGAGAUGGUCGCCCCCUUGUGGUCGGUAUACAGGUGGUGCAUGGCUGUCGUCAGCUCGUGUCGUGAGAUGUUGGGUUAAGUCCCGCAACGAGCGCAACCCUUGUUCUGUGUUGCCAGCAUGCCCUUCGGGGUGAUGGGGACUCACAGGAGACUGCCGGGGUCAACUCGGAGGAAGGUGGGGACGACGUCAAGUCAUCAUGCCCCUUAUGUCUUGGGCUGCACACGUGCUACAAUGGCCGGUACAAAGAGCUGCGAAGCCGCGAGGCAGAGCGAAUCUCAAAAAGCCGGUCUCAGUUCGGAUUGGGGUCUGCAACUCGACCCCAUGAAGUCGGAGUUGCUAGUAAUCGCAGAUCAGCAUUGCUGCGGUGAAUACGUUCCCGGGCCUUGUACACACCGCCCGUCACGUCACGAAAGUCGGUAACACCCGAAGCCGGUGGCCCAACCCCUGGUGGGAGGGAGCUGUCGAAGGUGGGACUGGCGAUUGG
Molecule: ribosomal RNA, 879 nt
Filed under: Streptomyces sp. Zapt2
Lineage: Bacteria; Bacillati; Actinomycetota; Actinomycetes; Kitasatosporales; Streptomycetaceae
Description: bacterial SSU rRNA
Rfam family: Bacterial small subunit ribosomal RNA
Source: RNAcentral